AACUGGGAAAGUGUUAAGAUAUCUCAGCAACCCGAAUCCUUUCUUCUUGGUCUUCUUAUCCAGCUCAUCACCAACCUCCUCUGAUUUCUU
Sinocyclocheilus rhinocerous is the source of this 90-nucleotide long non-coding RNA. RefSeq lists it as uncharacterized. The record is from RefSeq and is a predicted model, not a curated record. NCBI's taxonomy places the organism in Eukaryota, Metazoa, Chordata, Actinopteri, Cypriniformes, Cyprinidae. The transcript has 3 exons.